RNAcentral lists this RNase P RNA (321 nucleotides) under Phycisphaerales bacterium. RNAcentral describes it as "partial RNase P RNA component class A". It matches the Rfam family "Bacterial RNase P class A", at positions 1 to 292 of the family's 367-position model. From Rfam's summary of the family: Ribonuclease P (RNase P) is a ubiquitous endoribonuclease, found in archaea, bacteria and eukarya as well as chloroplasts and mitochondria. Its best characterised activity is the generation of mature 5'-ends of tRNAs by cleaving the 5'-leader elements of precursor-tRNAs. Lineage: Bacteria; Pseudomonadati; Planctomycetota; Phycisphaerae; Phycisphaerales. The record is from RNAcentral.
GCAUGUGGACAGACGGUCGCGGGUUUCUUUGUAAUGAAGAAUCGCGAGGAAAGUCCGGACACGAUAGGAAACGGUGGUGGAUAACGUCCACCGACCUUUGAUUGCAGGUUAGGGCUUAGUGCCACAGAGAGUAGACCGCCGAUGGUCAUGUUUACAUGACACAGGCAAGGGUGAAAAGGUGCGGUAAGAGCGCACCGCUGGUUUGGUGACAAAUCAGGCAAGGUAAACCCCACCGCGUGCAAACGCAAGCAGUUCUCGAUUCACUUUUGUGAAUGUCCUUGUCCGAGGAAUGAGAACGGGUCGCGUGCAAAAGUGUGCUGG